Unclassified non-coding RNA from Otolemur garnettii (small-eared galago), 95 nucleotides. It matches the Rfam family "Y RNA". From Rfam's summary of the family: Y RNAs are components of the Ro ribonucleoprotein particle (Ro RNP), in association with Ro60 and La proteins. The Y RNAs and Ro60 and La proteins are well conserved, but the function of the Ro RNP is not known. In humans the RNA component can be one of four small RNAs -- hY1, hY3, hY4 and hY5. Lineage: Eukaryota; Metazoa; Chordata; Mammalia; Primates; Galagidae. The record is from Ensembl.
GGCUGGUCUGAUGAUAGUGGCUUAACAGAACUUUUAAUAUUAGUGUCACUAAAAUUUGUAUACAAGCCUCCUCUGCUAAAUUUGACUAGCAUGUU